RNAcentral lists this ribosomal RNA (497 nucleotides) under uncultured bacterium. RNAcentral describes it as "partial 16S ribosomal RNA". It matches the Rfam family "Bacterial small subunit ribosomal RNA", at positions 28 to 507 of the family's 1533-position model. The record is from RNAcentral.
GAUGAACGCUGGCGGCGUGCCUAAUACAUGCAAGUCGAGCGAACAGACGAGGAGCUUGCUCUUGUGAAGUUAGCGGCGGACGGGUGAGUAACACGUGGAUAACCUGCCUAUAAGAGUGGGAUAACUUCGGGAAACCGGAGCUAAUACCGGAUAAGAUGUUGAACCGCAUGGUUCGAAAGUGAAAGAAGGUGUUGGUGUAUCCUAUUGAUGGAUCCGCGCCGCAUUAGCUAGUUGGUAAGGUAACGGCUUACCAAGGCAAGGAUGGGUAGCCGACCUGAGAGGGUGAUCGGCCACACUGGGACUGAGACACGGCCCAGACUCCUACGGGAGGCAGCAGUAGGGAAUCUUCCGCAAUGGGCGAAAGCCUGACGGAGCAACGCCGCGUGAGUGAAGAAGGUCUUCGGAUCGUAAAACUCUGUUAUUAUGGAAGAACAAAUGCGUAAGUAACUAUGCACGUCUUGACGGUACCUAAUCAGAAAGCCACGGCUAACUACGUG